RNAcentral lists this ribosomal RNA (253 nucleotides) under uncultured bacterium. RNAcentral's name for it is "partial 16S ribosomal RNA". It matches the Rfam family "Bacterial small subunit ribosomal RNA", at positions 524 to 776 of the family's 1533-position model. The record is from RNAcentral.
UACGAAGGGGGCUAGCGUUGUUCGGAAUCACUGGGCGUAAAGCGCACGCAGGCGGAUUGAUAAGUCAGGGGUGAAAUCCCGGGGCUCAACCUCGGAAUUGCCUUUGAUACUGUCUGUCUUGAGUCCGGGAGAGGGACGUGGAAUUCCAGGUGUAGCGGUGAAAUGCGUAGAUAUCUGGAGGAACACCGGUGGCGAAGGCGACGUCCUGGACCGGCAUUGACGCUGAGGCGCGAAAGCCAGGGGAGCAAACGGG